AUGGACUUCAUCGAAGCUCUACCAAAAUCUGAGGGCUAUACAGUGAUCUUAGUGGUGGUUGAUAGACUGACCAAGUAUGCCCACUUUAUCCCCUUGAAACAUCCUUUCUCCGCUCCAGUGGUAGCGAAAGCAUUCCUACAUACUGUGGUCAAAUUGCAUGGACCACCCCAUACUAUAGUUUCCGAUAGGGACAAGAUCUUUACCUGUCACUUUUGGAAGGAUUUGUUCAAGCUUUGGGAUACUAAAUUUCUCAUGAGUACUGCCUAUCAUCCUCAAACAGAUGGGCAGAGUGAAAGAGUGAAUCAGUGUUUGGAGAUGUUUCUCAGAUGUGCAGUACAUGAUACUCCAACAAAAUGGCAUUCCUGGUUACCCUUAGCAGAAUUCUGGUACAAUACUAAUUUUCAUUCUGCUUUGGAGUGCUCCCCUUUCAAAGCUCUCUAUGGAUAUGAACCUACUUAU
Molecule: ribosomal RNA, 459 nt
Filed under: Triticum aestivum (bread wheat)
Lineage: Eukaryota; Viridiplantae; Streptophyta; Magnoliopsida; Poales; Poaceae
Description: partial small subunit ribosomal RNA
Source: RNAcentral